RNAcentral lists this ribosomal RNA (253 nucleotides) under uncultured bacterium. RNAcentral describes it as "partial 16S ribosomal RNA". It matches the Rfam family "Bacterial small subunit ribosomal RNA", at positions 524 to 776 of the family's 1533-position model. The record is from RNAcentral.
UACGUAGGGUGCAAGCGUUAAUCGGAAUUACUGGGCGUAAAGCGUGCGCAGGCGGUGUUGUAAGUCUGUUGUGAAAUCCCCGGGCUCAACCUGGGAACUGCAUCUGUGACUGCAUCGCUGGAGUGCGGAAGAGGGGGAUGGAAUUCCGCGUGUAGCAGUGAAAUGCGUAGAUAUUGGGAAGAACACCGGUGGCGAAGGCGGCUCUCUGGACCGACACUGACGCUGAGGCGCGAAAGCGUGGGGAGCAAACAGG